UAGCAAUACGGCAGCGGCAGACGGGAGAGUAACACGUGGGAACGCGCCCUUCGGUUCGGGAUAACCCAGGGAAACUUGGGCUAAUACCGGAUACGCCCUUACGGGGAAAGAUUUAUUGCCGAAGGAACGGCCCGCGUCCGAUUAGCUAGUUGGUGAGGUAACGGCUCACCAAGGCGACGAUCGGUAGCUGGUCUGAGAGGAUGACCAGCCUCACUGGGACUGAGACACGGCCCAGACUCCUACGGGAGGCAGCAGUAGGGAAUAUUGGACAAUGGGCGCAAGCCUGAUCCAGCCAUGCCGCGUGGGUGAUGAAGGCCCUAGGG
RNAcentral lists this ribosomal RNA (323 nucleotides) under uncultured bacterium. Its description in RNAcentral is "bacterial SSU rRNA". It matches the Rfam family "Bacterial small subunit ribosomal RNA", at positions 81 to 422 of the family's 1533-position model. The record is from RNAcentral.